UACAGAGGGUGCAAGCGUUAAUCGGAAUUACUGGGGCGUAAAGCGUGCGUAGACGGUUGCGUAAGUCAGAUGUGAAAGCCCCGGGCUCAACCUGGGAAUUGCAUUUGAGACUGCGUAGCUAGGGUGCGGAAGAGGGAAGCGGAAUUUCCGGGUGUGAGCGGUGGAAAUGCGUAGAUAUCGGAAGGAACACCAGUGGCGAAAGCGGCUUCCUGGUCCAGCACCGGACGUUCAGGCACGAAAGCGUGGGGAG
RNAcentral lists this ribosomal RNA (250 nucleotides) under uncultured bacterium. RNAcentral describes it as "partial 16S ribosomal RNA". It matches the Rfam family "Bacterial small subunit ribosomal RNA", at positions 524 to 768 of the family's 1533-position model. The record is from RNAcentral.